Molecule: transfer RNA, 73 nt
Organism: Ovis aries (sheep)
Lineage: Eukaryota; Metazoa; Chordata; Mammalia; Artiodactyla; Bovidae
Rfam family: tRNA
About the family: Transfer RNA (tRNA) molecules are approximately 80 nucleotides in length. Their secondary structure includes four short double-helical elements and three loops (D, anti-codon, and T loops).
Source: Rfam
UCCCUGGCAGUCCAAUGGUUAGGUCUCAGUACUUUUCAUUGCAGUGGCCUGGGUUCAAAUCCCUGUCAGGGAA